This 492-nucleotide ribosomal RNA is filed under the name uncultured bacterium. RNAcentral's name for it is "bacterial SSU rRNA". It matches the Rfam family "Bacterial small subunit ribosomal RNA", at positions 40 to 507 of the family's 1533-position model. The record is from RNAcentral.
CGGCGUGCCUAACACAUGCAAGUCGUACGAGAAAGGGUCCUUCGGGGCCUGAGUAAAGUGGCGCACGGGUGAGUAACGCGUGGAUAAUCUGCCCUUCAGUUGGGAAUAACUCAUCGAAAGGUGGGCUAAUACCGAAUAAUGCCGCAUGACCCCGGUUGUGCAGCCAAAGACGGCCUCUGCUUGCAAGCUGUCGCUGAAGGAUGAGUCCGCGUACCAUUAGCUUGUUGGCAGGGUAAUGGCCUACCAAGGCGACGAUGGUUAGCUGGUCUGAGAGGAUGAUCAGCCACACUGGAACUGAGAUACGGUCCAGACUCCUACGGGAGGCAGCAGUGAGGAAUCUUGCGCAAUGGGGGAAACCCUGACGUCAGCAACGCCGCGUGAGUGAGGAAGGUCUUCGGAUCGUAAAGCUCUGUCGGUUGGGAAGAAACGCAUGGAGGCCAAUACCCUUCAUGCCUGACGGUACCAACAGAGGAAGCACCGGCUAACUCCGUG